Molecule: long non-coding RNA, 487 nt
Organism: Gadus macrocephalus (Pacific cod)
Lineage: Eukaryota; Metazoa; Chordata; Actinopteri; Gadiformes; Gadidae
Exons: 2
Source: RefSeq, a predicted model, not a curated record
CGACCAGGCGUGGUACUCCAUGUUUUGUAGAUACUCCUAGUCUGAAGGUGUGCCUUUGUUGUUCACUGCCUCACUUGUAGGUUGCUGUGGAUACGAGUCUGCUAAAAUACAUUUAUAAAGGUUGAUUGUCCAAUUACAGACCAAUUAAAAAUUGUGAAGAUGUAUGAUGGAUAAAUCAACGUAACAGGUGCCCUGGUCUAGUGCAUAGGCAGAUCUACAUAUCCACAAUCUACAGUACAAGUGCAGUGUACAUCAGUAUAUACAGUAUGCAUGGGGACUGCAGAACCACUACUGAGUGAACCAACAGAUAAGAGCUUUGCUCAAGGGCAACCAGGGAUGUGAAACAGGUCUUCUGUGAAUCCAUGUGUGUGAGCACUGCAUGCCUGUGUGUGUGUGUGUGUGUGUGUGUGUGUGUGUGUGUGUGUGUGUGUGUGUGUGUGUGUGUGUGUGUGUGUGUGUGUGUGUGUGUGUGUGUGUGUGUGUGUGU